UCAUCUCUCUGCCCUUUACAGAAACUUCACAUUUCCCUCUUUACUCUCACGUUCUCUCUUUACAAUUCUCUCUUCACCACAUUUUCUACUCUCGCUCUCUCUCUCCACCGACGACCAAGCAUCGUCUUCACCGAAGAGCUUUCUUCACCGCCUCCUUCCAACCAGGCACCAUCUUCCACCGAGUCUAUGUCUUCACUGUGUUGCUCAUUUUUCCCCUGGUGCUCUCUCUGCCUUCAAGAUUUACCCUCAAACAGGCUCCCUCAAACCAAGCG
RNAcentral lists this long non-coding RNA (272 nucleotides) under Amborella trichopoda. RNAcentral describes it as "long non-coding RNA (ATRI_LNC002560)". Lineage: Eukaryota; Viridiplantae; Streptophyta; Magnoliopsida; Amborellales; Amborellaceae. The record is from RNAcentral.